Molecule: long non-coding RNA, 356 nt
Organism: Beta vulgaris subsp. vulgaris (sugar beet)
Lineage: Eukaryota; Viridiplantae; Streptophyta; Magnoliopsida; Caryophyllales; Amaranthaceae
Exons: 2
Source: RefSeq, a predicted model, not a curated record
CAAAUAUUAUACGCUGGUAAUAAUUUCUCCCAAAGGCCAAAACCCUAACUUAAUCACUAUCCCUCUUUUUUCAGCCAAGCAGCCACCAUCUCCAUUCUCCAGUCUGACGGUAUCCCUCUUCAGUUCUUCCUCACCGGGAAACGCUUAAGUCGCCGGAAAAAGAAGCCAGGGAAUGGAAGGUGAUGAAUCUGGAUACGAAUCUUCAUUUCCUUGCUCAACUCCUUCUACAGCUUCUCCGUCUCCUUCUCAAGUUCGCAAUGGAACACAUAUGCAUCAUGUAAACUUCAAAAAUUGCAACUAUCAUUUGUAAUAUUAUUGGAUAAUUUAUUUAUUGUAGUGCAGAUUAUAGUUGGAUA